RNAcentral lists this ribosomal RNA (1296 nucleotides) under Shigella flexneri. RNAcentral's name for it is "partial 23S ribosomal RNA". It matches the Rfam family "Bacterial large subunit ribosomal RNA", at positions 1 to 1337 of the family's 2925-position model. The record is from RNAcentral. Lineage: Bacteria; Pseudomonadati; Pseudomonadota; Gammaproteobacteria; Enterobacterales; Enterobacteriaceae.
GUUAAGCGACUAAGCGUACACGGUGGAUGCCCUGGCAGUCAGAGGCGAUGAAGGACGUGCUAAUCUGCGAUAAGCGUCGGUAAGGUGAUAUGAACCGUUAUAACCGGCGAUUUCCGAAUGGGGAAACCCAGUGUGAUUCGUCACACUAUCAUUAACUGAAUCCAUAGGUUAAUGAGGCGAACCGGGGGAACUGAAACAUCUAAGUACCCCGAGGAAAAGAAAUCAACCGAGAUUCCCCCAGUAGCGGCGAGCGAACGGGGAGCAGCCCAGAGCCUGAAUCAGUGUGUGUGUUAGUGGAAGCGUCUGGAAAGGCGUGCGAUACAGGGUGACAGCCCCGUACACAAAAAUGCACAUACUGUGAGCUCGAUGAGUAGGGCGGGACACGUGGUAUCCUGUCUGAAUAUGGGGGGACCAUCCUCCAAGGCUAAAUACUCCUGACUGACCGAUAGUGAACCAGUACCGUGAGGGAAAGGCGAAAAGAACCCCGGCGAGGGGAGUGAAAAAGAACCUGAAACCGUGUACGUACAAGCAGUGGGAGCACGCUUAGGCGUGUGACUGCGUACCUUUUGUAUAAUGGGUCAGCGACUUAUAUUCUGUAGCAAGGUUAACCGAAUAGGGGAGCCGAAGGGAAACCGAGUCUUAACUGGGCGUUAAGUUGCAGGGUAUAGACCCGAAACCCGGUGAUCUAGCCAUGGGCAGGUUGAAGGUUGGGUAACACUAACUGGAGGACCGAACCGACUAAUGUUGAAAAAUUAGCGGAUGACUUGUGGCUGGGGGUGAAAGGCCAAUCAAACCGGGAGAUAGCUGGUUCUCCCCGAAAGCUAUUUAGGUAGCGCCUCGUGAAUUCAUCUCCGGGGGUAGAGCACUGUUUCGGCAAGGGGGUCAUCCCGACUUACCAACCCGAUGCAAACUGCGAAUACCGGAGAAUGUUAUCACGGGAGACACACGGCGGGUGCUAACGUCCGUCGUGAAGAGGGAAACAACCCAGACCGCCAGCUAAGGUCCCAAAGUCAUGGUUAAGUGGGAAACGAUGUGGGAAGGCCCAGACAGCCAGGAUGUUGGCUUAGAAGCAGCCAUCAUUUAAAGAAAGCGUAAUAGCUCACUGGUCGAGUCGGCCUGCGCGGAAGAUGUAACGGGGCUAAACCAUGCACCGAAGCUGCGGCAGCGACGCUUAUGCGUUGUUGGGUAGGGGAGCGUUCUGUAAGCCUGUGAAGGUGUGCUGUGAGGUAUGCUGGAGGUAUCAGAAGUGCGAAUGCUGACAUAAGUAACGAUAAAGCGGGUGAAAAGCCCGCUCGC